This 482-nucleotide ribosomal RNA is filed under the name uncultured bacterium. RNAcentral describes it as "partial 16S ribosomal RNA". It matches the Rfam family "Bacterial small subunit ribosomal RNA", at positions 30 to 507 of the family's 1533-position model. The record is from RNAcentral.
AUUGAACGCUGGCGGCAUGCCUUACACAUGCAAGUCGAACGGUAACAGGUCUUCGGAUGCUGACGAGUGGCGAACGGGUGAGUAAUACAUCGGAACGUGCCCGAUCGUGGGGGAUAACGAGGCGAAAGCUUUGCUAAUACCGCAUACGAUCUACGGAUGAAAGCAGGGGAUCUUCGGACCUCGCGCGGACGGAGCGGCCGAUGGCAGAUUAGGUAGUUGGUGGGAUAAAAGCUUACCAAGCCGACGAUCUGUAGCUGGCCUGAGAGGAUGAUCAGCCACACUGGGACUGAGACACGGCCCAGACUCCUACGGGAGGCAGCAGUGGGGAAUUUUGGACAAUGGGCGAAAGCCUGAUCCAGCCAUGCCGCGUGCAGGAUGAAGGCCUUCGGGUUGUAAACUGCUUUUGUACGGAACGAAAAGCCUCUUUCUAAUAAAGAGGGGUCAUGACGGUACCGUAAGAAUAAGCACCGGCUAACUACGUG